Gymnodraco acuticeps is the source of this 971-nucleotide RNA transcript. It is a transcript of the gene named NACHT, LRR and PYD domains-containing protein 12-like, with no coding region annotated. The record is from RefSeq and is a predicted model, not a curated record. The transcript has 2 exons. NCBI's taxonomy places the organism in Eukaryota, Metazoa, Chordata, Actinopteri, Perciformes, Bathydraconidae.
AACGAACACAAACAUUAUUUAACAAUAACAGCCACUCGGGGCAGUAUUGCAAUAGUAGUAGUGGGCUCUAACGUGCCAAAGAAGAAGAAGUGAUGUCAACGUCACUGUAACAUGUAAACAAACAACACAACUGAAAGAGCCAGGCGGGUGCCCACCUGUUAUAUGAAGUUAUAAUAAACACAAAAGAGAGUGUCAACAACAUCUCAGCAGUCAUGACACGUCACGUGAACAGUUCUCUGUUUCUAGAGAAGAUGAGAAAAAUAAAAAACGAGAAGAGAGGAAACCGAGGAGAAAGUCACUUAGCUGCACCAUCGAAGUGGAUCAACAUGCUACCAUUAGCAGCAGCCUCAUCUCUGGGGAUGUUCGUCACCCAGGAGAGUUUGAGGUAGACAUGAAGAUUGCCUCCGCGUCUUUGUGGACUGGUUAACUGCAGGUUGUCAGAGAUCAGCUGUUCUGCUCUGGCCUCAGCUCUGAAGUCCAACAUCCAUCUGAGAGAUCUGGACCUGAGAGGCAGCAGCACUCUGCAGGCUACAGGAGAGAAGCUGCUGAGAGAUCUUCUGGAGAGUCCAGACUGCAGACUGGAGACUCUCAGGUCAGUGAGGGGUCUCUGCUGGUUCAGCAGUAUUGUAUGAAACUCAUGGAGGUGUUUCUCUCACUGGGGAAACAGAUCAGUGAUGUUACCCACUGACUGCAGGCUCCUUCAUUCUUCCAUCAACUACAGAAGGCCAGCUGAAAAAGCAAAGCCAUACUUUAGUAAUCAACUCUAACACAGUGGUUCUCAAACUUUUUUCAAUAAUGUUCCCCCUUGGUUCCCCGCCUGAUCAGCGCAAACACAAUUGUUAGGGAAUAAAUGCUUAUAUAAAGAGGUACAGUACAGCGCUGCACCAUCCGUGUCUGAUUUAUUAAAACAACAACAUUGUAACUGAGAAACACUUAAAUGCUACAUUUCAAAUGUUUACAAUCCAUCACUA